CGGGUGCAUAUUUAGCUUGCCACUGGCCUUUUCCUCUUGCCAUAGACUCUGCCCAUCCCUCUGCCUUCUCUGAGGCCUCCAGCCCAGCCUCUGAUGGACUAGAGGCCAUUGUCACAGUGACAGAGAAGCUGGAGGAACUGCAGUUGCCUCAGGAAGCUGUGGAGAGCGAGUCUCGUGGGGCGAUCUACUCCAUCCCCAUCACAGAAGAUGGGGGAGGAGGAAGCUCUACCCCAGAAGACCCAGCAGAGGCCCCCAGGACUCCUCUAGGUAACUGUAAGCCUUUUUACCUUGGGUUCUCACUACUGAGAGAAGUUGGGGGUAGGAGGGUAAGCCCUAGUGGAUACUGGGAUCAUGACUGGCAUAAUUCUGCCUUAGGUAUCUCUCCUAUCACUCUCCAAAAUUUAGUAUUCAAAUAAAUUCCGUCCCCCAUUCUCUGCAGCUAGAGAAACUUGGUUUAGAGGGUGCUCUCUGGAAAGGAAUUAUAUUCCUUACCUACCCCAGACAGAUUGGAAAAUGUUGGCAGACUAGGAGAGGGAGAUGCAACAGCCUUUUCUGCCUGAGUAAAAGGCAGAGCCCUGCA
RNAcentral lists this long non-coding RNA (580 nucleotides) under Rattus norvegicus (Norway rat). RNAcentral's name for it is "long non-coding RNA NONRATT016548". The record is from RNAcentral. Lineage: Eukaryota; Metazoa; Chordata; Mammalia; Rodentia; Muridae.